Non-coding RNA from Desertifilum sp., 37 nucleotides. The record is from Rfam. Lineage: Bacteria; Bacillati; Cyanobacteriota; Cyanophyceae; Desertifilales; Desertifilaceae.
AUUGCAAUUACUCCUAAUCCCUAUUAGGGAUUGAAAC